This 596-nucleotide ribosomal RNA is filed under the name Streptomyces sp. Its description in RNAcentral is "bacterial SSU rRNA". It matches the Rfam family "Bacterial small subunit ribosomal RNA", at positions 198 to 809 of the family's 1533-position model. The record is from RNAcentral. Lineage: Bacteria; Bacillati; Actinomycetota; Actinomycetes; Kitasatosporales; Streptomycetaceae.
GGUUGAAAGCUCCGGCGGUGAAGGAUGAGCCCGCGGCCUAUCAGCUUGUUGGUGAGGUAGUGGCUCACCAAGGCGACGACGGGUAGCCGGCCUGAGAGGGCGACCGGCCACACUGGGACUGAGACACGGCCCAGACUCCUACGGGAGGCAGCAGUGGGGAAUAUUGCACAAUGGGCGAAAGCCUGAUGCAGCGACGCCGCGUGAGGGAUGACGGCCUUCGGGUUGUAAACCUCUUUCAGCAGGGAAGAAGCGAAAGUGACGGUACCUGCAGAAGAAGCGCCGGCUAACUACGUGCCAGCAGCCGCGGUAAUACGUAGGGCGCAAGCGUUGUCCGGAAUUAUUGGGCGUAAAGAGCUCGUAGGCGGUCUGUCGCGUCGGAUGUGAAAGCCCGGGGCUUAACCCCGGGUCUGCAUACGAUACGGGCAGACUAGAGUGUGGUAGGGGAGAUCGGAAUUCCUGGUGUAGCGGUGAAAUGCGCAGAUAUCAGGAGGAACACCGGUGGCGAAGGCGGAUCUCUGGGCCAUUACUGACGCUGAGGAGCGAAAGCGUGGGGAGCGAACAGGAUUAGAUACCCUGGUAGUCCACGCCGUAAACGG